RNAcentral lists this ribosomal RNA (460 nucleotides) under uncultured bacterium. RNAcentral's name for it is "partial 16S ribosomal RNA". It matches the Rfam family "Bacterial small subunit ribosomal RNA", at positions 338 to 795 of the family's 1533-position model. The record is from RNAcentral.
CCUACGGGAGACUGCAGUGAGGAAUAUUGGUCAAUGGGCGAGAGCCUGAACCAGCCAAGUAGCGUGAAGGAUGACUGCCCUAUGGGUUGUAAACUUCUUUUAUAUGGGAAUAAAAUGUUCCACGUGUGGGAUUUUGUAUGUACCAUAUGAAUAAGGAUCGGCUAACUCCGUGCCAGCAGCCGCGGUAAUACGGAGGAUCCGAGCGUUAUCCGGAUUUAUGGGGUUUAAAGGGAGCGUAGGUGGAUUGUUAAGUCAGUUGUGAAAGUUUGCGGCUCAACCGUAAAAUUGCAGUUGAAACUGGCAGUCUUGAGUACAGUAGAGGUGGGCGGAAUUCGUGGUGUAGCGGUGAAAUGCUUAGAUAUCACGAAGAACUCCGAUUGCGAAGGCAGCUCACUGGACUGCAACUGACACUGAGGCUCGAAAGUGUGGGUAUCAAACAGGAUUAGAUACCCUUGUAGUC